CCUGGUUGAUCUUGCCAGUAGUCAUAUGCUUGUCUCAAAGAUUAAGCCAUGCAAGUGAAAGUAUAUGCAUAUUUUAUAUGUAGAAACUGCGAACGGCUCAUUAAAACAGUUAUAAUCUACUUGACAUUUUUUCUAUAAGGAUAACUACGGAAAAGCUGUAGCUAAUACUUGCUUUAGCACUCUUGAUUCAUUUCUUGAGUGUGUACUUGUUAAGCCUUUUAAGAAAAAAGUUAAUAACUUAAGGAAUUAUAACAAAGAAGCGACACGUAAUGGAUCCGUCCAUUUUUAGUGUGUAUCAAUCGAGUUUCUGACCUAUCAGCUUUUGAUGUUAGGGUAUUGGCCUAACAUGGCUAUGACGGGUAACGGGGAAUUAGAGUUCGAUUCCGGAGAGGGAGCCUGAGAAAUAGCUACCACAUCUAAGGAAGGCAGCAGGCGCGUAAAUUACCCAAUUCUAAAGAAGAGAGGUAGUGACAAGAAAUAACAAUACAAGGCCAAUCUGGCUUUGUAAUUGGAAUGAUGGGAAUUUAAAUCCUUCCCAUAAUUCAAUUGGAGGGCAAGUCUGGUGCCAGCAGCCGCGGUAAUUCCAGCUCCAAUAGCGUAUAUUAAAAUUGUUGCAGUUAAAACGCUCGUAGUUGAAUUUCAAAGAAUCGAUAUUUUAAGCAACGCUUCUAGCUUAAUCCACAUAACUGAUACUUCGUAUCGACUUUGUGCGCAUUUUGCUAUUAUGUGUUCUUUUAAUUAAAAUGAUUCUUUUUAAGGACUUUCUUUGCUUCGGCUUGGAAGUCCUUGUUACUUUGAGUAAAUUAGAGUGUUCAAAGCAAACAGAUAUAGCAUUGCGCGUUUGAAUACUACAGCAUGGAAUAACAAAAUUGAACAAGUCAGAAUUUUGUUCUUUUUUCUUAUUUUGGCUUAGUUACGAUUAAUAGGAGUAGCUUGGGGGCAUUUGUAUUCAGAUGUCAGAGGUGAAAUUCUUAGAUUUUCUGGAGACAAACAACUGCGAAAGCAUUUGCCUAAAAUACUUCCAUUAAUCAAGAACGAAAGUUAAGGGAGUGAAGACGAUCAGAUACCGUCGUAAUCUUAACCAUAAACUAUGCCGACUAGGCUUUGGAUGAAAGAUUUUAAAAUAAGAAUUUUCUCUUUGGAGUUUAUUCUUAGAUUGCUUCCUUCAGUGCCUUAUGAGAAAUCAAAGUCUUUGGGUUCUGGGGCGAGUAUUCGCGCAAGCGAGAAAGUUAAAAGAAUUGACGGAAGGGCACCACCAGGCGUGGAGCUUGCGGCUUAAUUUGACUCAACACGGGAAAACUCACUAGUUUAAGACAAGAGUAGGAUUGACAGAUUAAUAGCUCUUUCUUGAUUUCUUGGAUGGUGAUGCAUGGCCGUUUUUAGUUCGUGAAUAUGAUUUGUCUGGUUAAUUCCGAUAACGAACGAGAUCUUAACCUGCUAAUUAGCGGCAAAUACGAUAUAUUCUUACGUGGGACUGAAUUCGGUUGAUUUGCUUACUUCGAAGAAAAUAUUGGGAUACGUAACAGUUUCCCUUUCCCUUUUCUACUUAGUUCGCUUUUCAUACUGUUUCUUUUUCGCGUAAGAAUGUAUUUGCUUGAUUGUAAAGCUUCUUAGAGGAACGAUGUGUGUCUAACACAAGGAAGUUUAAGGCAACAACAGGUCUGUGAUGUCCUUAGAUGAACUAGGCUGCACGCGUGCUACACUGAUAUGUAUAACGAGUUAUUAAAAUUACGAUUCAGCUUGCUGUUUCGUAUUUUUCCUCCACUGAAAAGUGUAGGUAAUCUUUAUCAGUACAUAUCGUGAUGGGGAUAGAUUAUUGCAAUUAUUAAUCUUGAACGAGGAAUGCCUAGUAAGCAUGAUUCAUUAGAUUGUGCUGACUACGUCCCUGCCCUUUGUACACACCGCCCGUCGCUCCUACCGAUUGAAAGAUAUGAUGAAUUGUUUGGACAAGAAGAAGGGGGAUUAUAUCUCCUUUUUUCUGGAAAAACCGUAAAUCCUAUCUUUUAAAGGAAGGAGAAGUCGUAACAAGGUUUCCGUAGGUGAACCUGCGGAAG
This 2054-nucleotide ribosomal RNA is filed under the name Plasmodium vivax Mauritania I. RNAcentral describes it as "SSU rRNA". It matches the Rfam family "Eukaryotic small subunit ribosomal RNA". The record is from RNAcentral. Lineage: Eukaryota; Apicomplexa; Aconoidasida; Haemosporida; Plasmodiidae.